ACCCAGCUGAUGAGUCCUAAAUAGGACGAAAUGUCUGUCCUGGAU
Non-coding RNA from Schistosoma mansoni, 45 nucleotides. The record is from Rfam. Lineage: Eukaryota; Metazoa; Platyhelminthes; Trematoda; Strigeidida; Schistosomatidae.